Molecule: long non-coding RNA, 425 nt
Filed under: Ictidomys tridecemlineatus (thirteen-lined ground squirrel)
Lineage: Eukaryota; Metazoa; Chordata; Mammalia; Rodentia; Sciuridae
Description: lncRNA (ENSSTOG00000033055.1)
Source: RNAcentral
GCCGGGCCGGGAGAGGCGCCGCGCCGGGUCCCGCGCCCGCUCUCGGCGGCCGGAGCAGUUUCCCUCGCGGUGACAAGGAUGUGCCUGUGUCGGUUUCCCCCCCGCAUCUCCUUAAGACGAUUUCCAUAGUAACCUGACCAAGUGGCUCAAUAUCGCAAACCUGAGGAUUUCGGCGGCCCGCGGGCAUGACCUCGGCCAGCUGUGAAACCUGCAGCGUGGCCACCUCAACCUGGUCGUUUUCAGACCCAUCCUCAUCCAUCAACAUAUUUGUUUCCUGACUCUAUUGAUCUCCCCCGGAUUCUGCAGAAAUGCAUUCUAAGCUGGGCGUCUGUAUGUCAGAAUCGGAGUACUUCAGUUCCAAGUAUGACAUGUAUUGUAAGGGUUGCAUAUGUUUUAAAUUCAAAUAAGCCAUGGGUAUAAAUAAA